Molecule: ribosomal RNA, 780 nt
Filed under: Niphargus laisi
Lineage: Eukaryota; Metazoa; Arthropoda; Malacostraca; Amphipoda; Niphargidae
Description: partial 28S ribosomal RNA
Source: RNAcentral
GCUCAGAGUAUAAGCCAAUGGAGCUUGGAAGGCUUCCGCAGUCCGGGCAUCAUACGUGGUGUUCCGAAUGACCAAAGCGCGGUUCGUCAGGAGAAGCAUUGAGUUUGCCGACCAUCUGUCGUGCGGGGGUUCGGUUUGGGGGUCUCAGGCUUCGGCCGAAGGGCUCCCGGCCGUUCCCUUAUGAAUGGACGUUCAGAGCUACUGUGUCAAAUGCGGUUAUGCCCACCACAGCACGUUGUGAGGUCACCCACAGGCUCAAACUGCCGAUCGCGCAUCCAGGACGAUGGCAACGACGCGUUGUUUGUACUCGUUUACGAGUGAUCACGCGUGUCUAGUCCUGGGUCGGGCGGCGACCGAGAUAAACCUGGUACGAUCCUCGUGCGACGAGCUGCUUUCUGGCCAGACCGACGCCCAGGCGCUUCCACUGUGCCGGAAGCGUCAAUCCCAGGCGGUAUGAACCCAGCUGCAUUCUGCAAGGUCUCUCAGCCGGGCGUUGGUCUGAGUGGUGUUAAGUCCAGCACCAUCGGUCACGUCUCGAAACACGGGCCAAGGAGUAUAGCAUGUGUGCAAGUCUAAGGGUCUCCCAAAACCCGAAGGCGAAGUGAAAGCAAGACUGUGGCGGGGGAGCCACGGCGAACCCGCCGGCCUUGUGGCGCGCGCGCACGCUUCGGCUUGUGUGUGCGUUGCCUGGCUUAAAGCAGAGCUGAUCCUGUUUUCUCGGUGAAUUCUUGGUGCAGGCGCAAGCUCCGGGCUCACGUACAACACUGGUCACGCCUCGUG